CGCUGGCGGCAGGCCUAACACAUGCAAGUCGAGCGCCCCGCAAGGGGAGCGGCGGACGGGUGAGUAACACGUGGGAAUUUUCCUCAAGGUACGGAACAACUCAGGGAAACUUGGGCUAAUACCGUAUGAUGCAGAGAUGCCAAAGAUUUAUCGCCUUGGGAUAAGCCCGCGUCAGAUUAGGUAGUUGGUGGGGUAAUGGCCUACCAAGCCUGUGAUCUGUAGCUGGUCUGAGAGGACGAUCAGCCACAUUGGGACUGAGACACGGCCCAAACUCCUACGGGAGGCAGCAGUGGGGAAUCUUGCGCAAUGGACGAAAGUCUGACGCAGCCAUGCCGCGUGAAUGAUGAAGGUCUUAGGAUUGUAAAGUUCUUUAGCCUGUGACGAUGAUGACGGUAACAGGAGAAUAAGCCCCGGCUAACUUCGUG
Molecule: ribosomal RNA, 425 nt
Filed under: uncultured bacterium
Lineage: Bacteria
Description: bacterial SSU rRNA
Rfam family: Bacterial small subunit ribosomal RNA
Source: RNAcentral